RNAcentral lists this ribosomal RNA (305 nucleotides) under uncultured bacterium. RNAcentral describes it as "bacterial SSU rRNA". It matches the Rfam family "Bacterial small subunit ribosomal RNA", at positions 334 to 637 of the family's 1533-position model. The record is from RNAcentral.
GUUUCCUACGGGACGCAGCAGUGAGGAAUAUUGGUCAAUGGGCGCGAGCCUGAACCAGCCAAGUCGCGUGAGGGAAGACGGUCCUAUGGAUUGUAAACCUCUUUUGUCGGGGAGCAAAAGACGCCACGCGUGGCGUUCCGAGAGUACCCGAAGAAAAAGCAUCGGCUAACUCCGUGCCAGCAGCCGCGGUAAUACGGAGGAUGCGAGCGUUAUCCGGAUUUAUUGGGUUUAAAGGGUGCGUAGGCGGAAGAUCAAGUCAGCGGUAAAAUUGAGAGGCUAAACAUCUUCGAGUCGUUGAAAGUGGU